Molecule: ribosomal RNA, 253 nt
Filed under: uncultured bacterium
Lineage: Bacteria
Description: partial 16S ribosomal RNA
Rfam family: Bacterial small subunit ribosomal RNA
Source: RNAcentral
UACGAAGGGGGCUAGCGUUGCUCGGAAUCACUGGGCGUAAAGCGCACGUAGGCGGACUCUUAAGUCAGGGGUGAAAUCCUGGAGCUCAACUCCAGAACUGCCUUUGAUACUGGGAGUCUUGAGUUCGGGAGAGGUGAGUGGAACUGCGAGUGUAGAGGUGAAAUUCGUAGAUAUUCGCAAGAACACCAGUGGCGAAGGCGACUCACUGGCCCGAUACUGACGCUGAGGCGCGAAAGCGUGGGGAGCAAACAGG